ACAAAAUAUUUGGGCCCCCGGCUGCCUCAAAAGGGCGAAGGGGGAUCCUGAAACAUUUGUGUGCACCAUAUCUGUCUUUGGCAGUUCGAGUGUCCCGGGGUUUGGAGGCCUUCAUCGGUCGCUUCCCGGGUACCUACCCCUGGCUUCCACUUUUUGUGUUUGCCAAGGGUUGGGCUGCCGCCUUUUUGAACAAACCAUUUGUCUUGAUUUUUGAUGUCUGAAAUUGUUUAAUCUUGAUUGAUUGAAUUUAAAA
RNAcentral lists this unclassified non-coding RNA (253 nucleotides) under uncultured fungus. RNAcentral describes it as "sequence contains ITS1". The record is from RNAcentral. Lineage: Eukaryota; Fungi.